ACGAACGCUGGCGGCAGGCCUAACACAUGCAAGUCGAGCGCUGUAGCAAUACAGAGCGGCGCACGGGUGAGUAACACGUGGGAACGUGCCCUUUGGUUCGGAAUAACUCAGGGAAACUUGAGCUAAUACCGGAUGAGCCCUAACGGGGAAAGAUUUAUCGCCGAAGGAGCGGCCCGCGUUGGAUUAGCUAGUUGGUGGGGUAAAAGCCUACCAAGGCAACGAUCCAUAGCUGGUUUGAGAGAACGACCAGCCACACUGGGACUGAGACACGGCCCAGACUCCUACGGGAGGCAGCAGUGGGGAAUCUUGGACAAUGGGGGAAACCCUGAUCCAGCCAUGCCGCGUGAGUGAUGAAGGCCCUAGGGUUGUAAAACUCUUUCGGCGGGGACGAUAAUGACGGUACCCGCAGAAGAAGCUCCGGCUAACUUCGU
RNAcentral lists this ribosomal RNA (431 nucleotides) under uncultured bacterium. RNAcentral's name for it is "bacterial SSU rRNA". It matches the Rfam family "Bacterial small subunit ribosomal RNA", at positions 29 to 506 of the family's 1533-position model. The record is from RNAcentral.